CAUUCCUUUGUGACGACGCAAUCGUGGCAGUUCUCCCCCAUCAGGACAGACGGGGCAAAUUCCGCAACGGUCGCGAUCGUCAUUCUUUCCGAGGCACAAGGCAACCCGAUGGGGCAAAUAAGGGAGACAAACCCCAGCCCGUAUAACUUUCCGCAUCCAAAACCACGAGCAAUGGACAAAUGCGCCAGCGCAACCAAUUAAUGGCCUGCGUGGAACACAUGCAUUGCUACGAGGUUGGCCCCGUGACAUGGCAGCCAAGGGGCGAAAGGGCACAAUCAUGACAUUCAAUUUCCACCGUAUUGGGCAACCAGCACACGAACCUAGCAUGACUUCGAAAAAUUUACCGAGUCCUUGUAUCUGGAGGGAUCGUGGCAAAACAGUUCGGUGCGCGAAGCAUGGAGCCUGCCUUACCAAUCGAUCCUAACACCACUCACGCGC
This 438-nucleotide unclassified non-coding RNA is filed under the name Turnera dolichostigma. RNAcentral's name for it is "partial external transcribed spacer". The record is from RNAcentral. Lineage: Eukaryota; Viridiplantae; Streptophyta; Magnoliopsida; Malpighiales; Passifloraceae.